UGACUGGUUUUACUGAUUCCUCCCUCUUGAAGAACUGUAAUGCCAUUAAGUUGGUGUUGCAGGGAAUCAGGACUGUUACUUUGAAAAAAUUAGAGUGUUUAAAGCAGGCUUUAGCUUGAAUACAUUAGCAUGGAAUAAUGAAAUAGGACGUUUGAUCCUAUUUUGUUGGUUUCUAGGAUUGACGUAAUGAUUAAUAGGGAUAGUUGGGA
RNAcentral lists this ribosomal RNA (209 nucleotides) under uncultured fungus. Its description in RNAcentral is "partial 18S ribosomal RNA". It matches the Rfam family "Eukaryotic small subunit ribosomal RNA", at positions 689 to 887 of the family's 1831-position model. Lineage: Eukaryota; Fungi. The record is from RNAcentral.